This 70-nucleotide microRNA precursor is filed under the name Mus spretus (western wild mouse). Its description in RNAcentral is "predicted gene, 55658 (ENSMSPG00010037898.1)". Lineage: Eukaryota; Metazoa; Chordata; Mammalia; Rodentia; Muridae. The record is from RNAcentral.
UGUAUAUUUUGUGUUUACUCGUGUGUGUGUGUGUGUGCGUGCGCACACACACACACAUACAUAUAUAACC